CCAUAGUUAAUGCACUGCAUUAUUCAUUAGCUGCUACUGUGACAGGCAGAACACUUGCAUGGAGCUACUACACCACCAGGUAAGUGUUUAUCUUAAUAUAUCAAUUAAUAAAGAAGAUCUUCACCUAGCUGCUUAUAUCAAACAUUUUAAUCUUACUCCAUAAAUGUCGGUAUGAAAAAUUGUUUGACCUGGCAACUGUUUAACAAUGAAACCUUGUUUUUCAGUUAGAAUGCAUUCAAAUAUAUUGACAUCUAUUCUGUUACAGUGAAAGAACAUGACAUCUAUACUGGAGGACGGCUUGAUAAAAACAAGCUCAAUAGAGCAGGUGGUGGCCCCUCUGUCCUCUCACCUGUGUCACCUCACUCUUCUGUGCGGGAGCGAGACAGAACUGGAUGAAUUCACCCAGCUGGAAGCUGCAGCUAAAGCGGUGGCCAAAGCAUCCAAAAACAUGGCAGCUGUAGCAACAAGGUUAGUGGAGGAUACCGAUGAUGAUAUUCUGAAGAUGGAGAUGGAGCCACUCGUGGAAUCCCUGACUGUUUCUGGUCAGCACGUGCUCCUGGCCACCCAAAAGCUCAGCAUACAACCGGAGAUCAUAGAGCACAGAGAAGAGCUCAUUGAAGCCACUCAGAAUGUGCUGUUAGGUGUGGUCAAGGUAAUACGUUUCAUAAUUACAUGAAGAAAUGAAGGGAGUCCUGCAGCCACAGUCCUGCAGAGUUUAGUUCCAACCUAAACUACAUACCUGUAGUUUUCAAAAAAAUGCUGGAGGUGGUUCAGGUCCAUUUAAUUAAUGUUGAAGCUAAGCUCUCCAGGAACUGAUUUUAGCCUACUUGACCUUCACGGUUAUGUCCAGAAAAGUGUUUCCCAACCUUGUUCUUAGAGCAGAGGUCUCCAACCCUGCUCCUGGACAGAUUUCUGUUCCAACCCCAAUCAAACAUAGGCUUCCUGAAGCUAAUGAAGGUGUUUAGGUUUAUCUCAUAUUUACUGGUAGAUAUGUUUGAGCAAGAUUGGAACUGAAGUCUGCAGGACAGUAGCUCUCCAGAAGCCUGGUUGGAUAUUCCUUAAUGCUUUUCCACUGGGGCUGGAGCUGGAGCCGGUGCUUGACCAAGAGUGACACUCAUUCAGAACUGGCUCACCUUUCCACUGGCUGGGAGCAGAACCCCCCAUGUCACCAACAUAUGACUGAAAACCAUCAUUACCUCUGCAAGAGGAGAGCAUUGGUCUCUUCAAACAACCACUGCCGAGCUGACAUUUUUGAUUACUGUUGUUAAUGCAGUUAGUUUACCUGAACUAAUACGGCUUUUAUAAAUGGCGCCUUUCAAACUGCGGUCUGUAAACUGGCCCAGGAUUUGUUUGAGUGGAAAAGCUCAGUCUGGUUCCCAAUUGGGCUCCAUCUCUUGCAGCAGCCCUGGUGGAAAAGUGGUACCAGUCCUAGGAGGCACCCCAACAAUACACGUUUAGGAUGUCUCCCUUAUCUAACCCAUCGAUUUCAGGUCUUGGAGUCUCUGUUAAUGAGCUGAUGAGUUUAUUCAGGUGUGUUUGAUUAGGAAGAAUUGUAAACUUUUUUGUUUUGGUCUCUACAGAUCCUUCUAGUGGAAGAUGAUGCGACCAUAAGGAAGAUUGCUGCAGCUGCUGAUUGGCUCUUACAGUGUCUUUCUCAAGUAGGAGCUGCAGCAGACAUAUCAUCCUUAUUGAAAGCAU
Molecule: long non-coding RNA, 1698 nt
Filed under: Carassius auratus (goldfish)
Lineage: Eukaryota; Metazoa; Chordata; Actinopteri; Cypriniformes; Cyprinidae
Description: lncRNA (ENSCARG00000030714.1)
Source: RNAcentral